Ceratitis capitata (Mediterranean fruit fly) is the source of this 297-nucleotide long non-coding RNA. RefSeq lists it as uncharacterized. The record is from RefSeq and is a predicted model, not a curated record. NCBI's taxonomy places the organism in Eukaryota, Metazoa, Arthropoda, Insecta, Diptera, Tephritidae. The transcript has 3 exons.
GAAUGAAAAAGCUUUCUUACAAUUCAAAAAGAAUAUGAAUUAAUGAGCAGAGCAGCAGCACAGUGUUUUCCGGAUUCUUCAGCAUUCAAAUUAAUUCCAUUUUAUUCAAUUGAUAAAGUAAAAGAAGUAGAGGAAAAUUUAGAAAACUACCCUAAGGGAGAGCACAAUACCUCAAAUUACUCUUAGGGUGAGAUGGGAUUUCCAAAUGUAUCAACCAUUUAUUCACCAAAAAUCUUUUGCUUGAAAUCAACCGCGAUGGGAAAAAGCAAAAAAAUGGCAUUGAAGCAAUUUAAAAUU